Small nuclear RNA from Delphinapterus leucas (beluga whale), 105 nucleotides. The record is from Ensembl. Lineage: Eukaryota; Metazoa; Chordata; Mammalia; Artiodactyla; Monodontidae.
GUGUUCACUUUGGCACCACGUAUACUAAAACUGGAACUAUACAGGAAAGAUUAGCAUGACCUCUGCACAAAGAUGACACAAAUUUAUGAAGCAUUCCAUUUUUUU